AACGAACGCUGGCGGCGCGCCUAACACAUGCAAGUCGAACGAGAAGGCGUAGCAAUACGCUUGUAGAGUGGCGAACGGGUGAGUAAUACGUGGGUGACCUACCCUCGAGUGGGGAAUAACCCGCCGAAAGGCGGGCUAAUGCCGCGUACGCUUCCGUCCUCACGGGGGACGGAAGGAAAGCUGUACCGUGGGUACGGCGCUCAAGGAUGGGCUCACGUCCUAUCAGCUUGUUGGUAGGGUAACGGCCACCAAGGCUACGACGGGUAGCUGGUCUGAGAGGACGAUCAGCCACACUGGCACUGCGACACGGGCCAGACUCCUACGGGAGGCAGCAGUGAGGAAUAUUGCGCAAUGGGCGAAAGCCUGACGCAGCGACGCCGCGUGGGGAUGAAGGUC
RNAcentral lists this ribosomal RNA (396 nucleotides) under uncultured bacterium. RNAcentral's name for it is "bacterial SSU rRNA". It matches the Rfam family "Bacterial small subunit ribosomal RNA", at positions 29 to 416 of the family's 1533-position model. The record is from RNAcentral.